RNAcentral lists this transfer RNA (66 nucleotides) under Psychophora sabini. RNAcentral describes it as "tRNA-Gly". Lineage: Eukaryota; Metazoa; Arthropoda; Insecta; Lepidoptera; Geometridae. The record is from RNAcentral.
AUUUAUAUAAUAUAUUUAGUAUAUUUGACUUCCAAUCAAAAAGUUUAAUUUUUAUUAAUGUAAAUA